Molecule: ribosomal RNA, 254 nt
Filed under: uncultured bacterium
Lineage: Bacteria
Description: partial 16S ribosomal RNA
Rfam family: Bacterial small subunit ribosomal RNA
Source: RNAcentral
GACGUAGGGCGCGAGCGUUGUCCGGAUUUAUUGGGCGUAAAGAGCUCGUAGGCGGCUUGUCGCGUCGUCCGUGAAAACCUGCAGCUCAACUGCAGGCUUGCGGGCGAUACGGGCAGGCUCGAGUUCGGUAGGGGAGACUGGAAUUCCAGGUUGUAGUAGUGAAAUGCGUAGAUAUCUGGAAGAACACCAAUGGCGAAGGCAAUGUUCUGGCUCGUUUCUGACGCUGAGGUGCGAAAGCGUGGGGAGCAAACAGG